AAAAAAUCAAGGCUGAAAUCUCAUGUUACAGGUACAAGGAGCAAUAAAUUCCCAACGUGGGCCCGAGCCAUCGCGUCAAUUUCCAAUCUGCAAAUCAAAAUCUUCGUCAGCCCACGAACAAAUGAAUUAGUUUCAAUCAAACUCAGCCUUUGUUUUGUGAUUUGAUUUUCUUAACUCGAAGCUUACAGAGAGUGAAAGAUGGCGGAUUCCAGUGAAAAUUUUAACGGGGUUUUGUAUGAGGGCGUUGGGGACAGUGAAGAAUCUGGAUUUCCUAAGAAAAUAAAAAAAGGAUCACAUCAUCGUCAAGAACUGAGAGAAGUGACUCUUUAUACUGUUUUCAGCAAUUUGAUCAAUGCAAUUUUCUUUCGGAGCCCGAAUUCUCGUUACGGUUCUGUUCAUCUACUGCACCGGAUCAAAGUUUCCGUUUAUGAAAAUAUUCCCCUGCUUCGUGACGCUUCGACGAACAGUGGUCGCCAUGUUCUCGNAAUUUUGAUAAUCCAAUGAGAAUUUGACAAAUCAAUGCUCCUAAAUCUAUUCAAUACUCUCUCUCGAGAUGUAUUGAACCUAUUCUCAUAAAUCACCAGCCUAUAUUUCUAUGACGGAUGCAAUUAUACAAGAACGCAUGUAAUUUUUUUGUGAGCAAUUAAAGAUUUACA
Molecule: long non-coding RNA, 656 nt
Filed under: Olea europaea subsp. europaea
Lineage: Eukaryota; Viridiplantae; Streptophyta; Magnoliopsida; Lamiales; Oleaceae
Source: RNAcentral